RNAcentral lists this long non-coding RNA (1202 nucleotides) under Ananas comosus (pineapple). RNAcentral describes it as "long non-coding RNA (ACOM_LNC025919)". The record is from RNAcentral. Lineage: Eukaryota; Viridiplantae; Streptophyta; Magnoliopsida; Poales; Bromeliaceae.
GUACUCAUAAGUUGUUUUCGAUGAUAAAGCUUCCGAAUUGACAAUCCAUACCGUUAAACAUUAUCUAGAGCAUUUAAAACUUCUAAAAAUCAAAUUUUAUAAUAUUUUGGUAUUAUUUACCUUACGAUUAAAAGCUCACAAAAUUGACAUUUUUAACGGCCGGUACGAGAUAUUUGCUAGUUUAACGAUGAAAAAAAAUCGAAAUAGAUUGAAUUUUUGAUAGAAAAUUCUAUUCACUACCUAAAUAAAGAUUAAUAACUCCGAUCUUAAAUUGAAGGAUCCGAUCAUCCAUUUUUAGGAUGUCGUUCGAUUUUAACCGUUCAUUUUAUUCACGCUUGAUGGACUUUAUAAUGAUUUCGAAAAAUUACAAAAUUUAUUUUCUAGAAGUUUCAAAUACUCUACAUUAUGUUUAACGGUGUGGAUCGUCGAUUCGAAAAUUUCAAUAUUGAAAACAACUUAUGAGUAGAAGGGCUCUAUACUCAUAAGAGUAUAGUAGCCCUACUCUAUGGGCGUGUUUGGUUCGCUAAAUAUUAACCCCGGAAUCAGAAUCGGAAUGAUCCAUUCCGAUUCUAGAUGUUUGGUACGCCGUAAUCUCAUUCCAAUUUCGUUUUCAUUCCGGAAUGGGAAUAGGCUAAUCCGGGUAGAAACGUGUCACGCCCCGGGGUCCCUUUCGAUUUAAGAGAUAGCGGAAAAGCGUCUGAAAUUUUUUUUUUAAAAAAACCUGACCCCAGAGUAUGUCAGAUCCGCCACAAAUAUAGGAGAUCCACUAUUCACACGGACAGAGUCUCCUCUGUAUUCGCACGGCGUCGCACAAGUACAAGAAUACAACCAGGAUACAACCACAACUAGAUGAAUAUAAAGAUCACUAUACAUUCAUACAUUCACCAUUCACAUCACAGUUUUACAUUCAAUGUUUAAACAGAAAUCCAUGAAAAAAAUUCUUUUGAAAACUGUUUCCUACACGGAAACCUUUAUUCUUUAAAAACGCUACCACGAAGGGUAGAAAAGCUUUUAUUACAUUCAUGAAAAUCCACAUAUUCAAAUGUAAUAAAAAUACUGAACCAUAUAAACUAUCUAAGCUAUAUAUCAACAGAAAUAAAAAGGGUAAGAGCUAAACCGAACGACCUGGGUCGGAAGAUCUAUCGACCGCUACGUACGUGUCUCACGUCUCGUCUAAACCUCACCGCCUGCAAUACCUGAAA